This 393-nucleotide ribosomal RNA is filed under the name uncultured bacterium. RNAcentral describes it as "bacterial SSU rRNA". It matches the Rfam family "Bacterial small subunit ribosomal RNA", at positions 29 to 405 of the family's 1533-position model. The record is from RNAcentral.
AUGAACGCUAGCGGGAGGCCUAACACAUGCAAGCCGAGCGGUAUAUACUGGAACGAAACUUCGGUCUAGAGAAGGUAUAGAGAGCGGCGGACGGGUGAGUAACGCGUAGGCAACCUGCCCCAUACAGAGGGAUAGCCUCGGGAAACCGGGAUUAAAACCUCAUAACACGAGAGUUUCACAUGUUACUCUCGUCAAAGAUUUAUCGGUAUGGGAUGGGCCUGCGUCUGAUUAGCUAGUUGGUGAGGUAACGGCUCACCAAGGCAACGAUCAGUAGCCGACCUGAGAGGGUAAUCGGCCACAUUGGAACUGAGACACGGUCCAAACUCCUACGGGAGGCAGCAGUGGGGAAUCUUGCACAAUGGGCGAAAGCCUGAUGCAGCAACGCCGCGUGAG